UCGCUUUUGGACACUUUAGAGGAUGCUCGAGUCGUUCAGAAACAUGACGUGUAUUCCAUUGCUUGAGCCCAUUAUCAAAUGCAACUCUUACAAGCAUCAAGCAACAGCGUAGUAAUAAAAGAUGUCAUCCUCAUAUGUGAUCUUGAAGAAGAGCUGCAUAAAAUGGCAAAUGAUAUUGAUGAUGCUCAAGCAGAACUGGACUCGGUGGAGGCCGAGUUGGAGAUGGUGGAACUGCAGAUCUCCGAGCUGCUGGAGAAACAGACCAAGCUGAGCUCCAGGAAGAACAAACUUCUGCAGAUCCUGGAGGGAGCCUGCAGCUCGGCCCAGCCCUCUGGAUCCAGCAAACCUCCCAAACCGUCAUUCAGCAGACAGGACCUACAGCACUACGAGGAGUCAGAUUUUUCAUGGUCUAAAGAAGCUCAGGCCAAGCUGUGUAACAUGUUCCAGCUCUCCAAAUUUCGCCCCCUGCAACGGGCGGCCAUAAAUCUCAGCAUGUCAGGGAAAGACCUUUUCCUGGUAAUGCCCACUGGACGAGGAAAAAGCCUGUGUUACCAACUUCCAGCCCUCUGCUCUAAGGGGUUUACGUUAGUUAUCGCUCCGUUGGUGUCUCUAAUGGAGGAUCAGCUGAUGUAUCUGAAGUGCAUUAAUGUCCCGGCUGUAACUCUCAAUGCCUCCAGUACAAAGGAGGACUCCAAGCAGGUGCUGGCAGGGAUGACGGAUAAAAACAGCCCCUUCAAAUUGCUCUAUGUAACCCCGGAGAAAAUCGCCAAGAGCAAACUACUGAUGUCCAAACUUGAAAAGUCCUACAACAUGGGUCUGCUGGCACGCAUCGCCGUCGAUGAAGUUCACUGCUGCAGUCAGUGGGGGCACGACUUCAGGCCAGAUUACAAGCUCCUGGGUAUCCUAAAGCGCCAGUUCCCCAAAGUCCCGUUGGUCGGACUGACUGCCACAGCCACCAGCAACGUUCUUAAAGACUGCCAGAAGAUUCUGUGUGUUCAAGAACCGAUCACACUGACAGCACCGUUCAACAGACCAAACCUUUACUAUGAAGUUCGUUUUAAACAUAACGAAGACUGUACCCACCAAAUUGCAGAACUGAUUAAAGAAAGAUACAAAAACCAGUCAGGAAUCGUGUAUGUGUUCUCCCAGAAGGAUGCAGAAGUUGUCGCUACAGACCUGCAGAAGAGGAAUAUUGUUGCUCAGCCGUACCACGCCAACAUGGAGCCUUCAGACAAGUCUCUGGUGCAUCAGCGGUGGUCCUCCAAGAAGAUCCAGGUGGUCGUUGCCACUGUGGCUUUUGGGAUGGGCAUUGACAAGGCUGAUGUGCGAUUUGUUAUCCAUCACACCAUCAGCAAAUCCAUCGAAAAUUACUAUCAGGAGAGUGGACGUGCAGGAAGGGAUGAUGGCUCAGCGGAUUGUAUAGUAUUCUUCGGGUUUGCAGACAUCUUCAGAUUAAGCACAAUGGUUGUGAUGGAGAACACUGGGCAGCAGAAGCUACAUAAUAUGGUGGCAUAUUGUCAAAAUGUGGACCGGUGUCGUCGUGCUAUGAUGGCCAUUCACUUUGAUGAAGUGUGGAAUGAUGACGAGUGCAACCAAAUGUGUGAUGUCUGUCGGCACGGCAAUGACUACAUCACAAUGGACAUCACCACACAUGCUCGAGAUGUUGUCACCAUAGUAGAAAUGGCCAGCUCUAUGGAUGAAAAGUUGACCCCUCUGAAAGUCUGUGACGCUUGGAUGGGAAAAGGGCCAGCUAAGCAUCGCAAAACAAUAAAGGUCACGUCCCUGUCACGCGUGGAAGUUGAGUCUAUUAUCAUCCACCUUUUGUUGCAUGGCUACUUCAGUGAGGACUUUAGCUUCACUCCUUACACAACACACUUCUACUUGAAGUUGGGCCGUAAGGCAGCUCUCCUGAAAAAUGGCAAUCACUCCAUCACUAUGAAGAUGAGGAGAGUGAUGUCACAUACUACUGUAAGAGUCAACAAAUCAUGUGCAAGUGGUCCUGUUUUUUUUUUUGUUUUUUUUUUCAAUGAUUCUAGCAAAUUCUAGAUUUCAACUUUUCUUAAUGGUUGGAUGAGCGCCAAUUCUUUCCUCAACUUCUUUCAGUAGUGACAAUCGGCCAGAUCCAAUCCAAACUCCUCCGAAAUUCUUUUAUUUAUUACAUUUAUGCUACUUGGUAACAAAAAUAUUUAUUGGGUCUGCUCAAUUUUAACUGAACAUUCGUGUAAUUAAGAGUUGUGUAUCAAAUUUGAGAGUAUAUGUAUUGGAUCUGGCCUUAGGUCUCAGUUCCGUAGUAUUUGCUGAUCUUUUGUGUUUAUCUGUAUUAUUAUUAUUAUUCCUCUUCUAGUCUUAUUGUGUUUCAGGUAGAUGCCAUCAGAGUAUUUGAAAGCUGCAUCACAGUUCACUUAGUUAAAAUGCUUUUUAAUAACUAGUAACUAACACGUUCAUAAAGUGUUUGCCUAACUUGGUUUCCAACAUUUUAAUGUUAAUACCAACCUACACAAAAAAAAAAAGUUACAAAUUAUUUAUUUUAGACUUAUACUGGAGAUCAUACUGUAUUCUAAACUUCUCUUGAUAAAUCAGAGAAAACCACUCCAAAAGUACAUUAUCUCCAAAAAGUGAAGGAUUUCAGAAAAUCAUUGUGGCCCAGUUGAUUGCAAACCAAAUUGGACUUAUUUCCGAUUAAAUGGCUCACAGAGUAUGCAUUUAUCACCCUUUAAACAACCCUGUCCCAGCAGUCAUGGCGUAGUUGGAUCAGCUACAUCAUCUAAUACAAGCCUUUUCGCAUCAUGAGUGAAACCUCUUCUCUUGGGAGUGUCGCUGUAGCUACAUGAUCCAUCACUGAACAUGUAGUAACCUCUGGUAAAGAAAGUGUCAGAAACUGUUCGGGAGAAAAGUAGCGCCAAAGUAGAAGGAAAAAGACCGGCUGACAGUGACAAGAAAAAAUCAGUGGCCAAGAAAGUCAA
Carassius auratus (goldfish) is the source of this 2963-nucleotide RNA transcript. It is a transcript of the gene named ATP-dependent DNA helicase Q1-like, with no coding region annotated. The record is from RefSeq and is a predicted model, not a curated record. Lineage: Eukaryota; Metazoa; Chordata; Actinopteri; Cypriniformes; Cyprinidae. The transcript has 15 exons.